RNAcentral lists this ribosomal RNA (492 nucleotides) under uncultured Chaetomidium. RNAcentral's name for it is "eukaryotic LSU rRNA". It matches the Rfam family "Eukaryotic large subunit ribosomal RNA", at positions 86 to 590 of the family's 3401-position model. Lineage: Eukaryota; Fungi; Ascomycota; Sordariomycetes; Sordariales; Chaetomiaceae. The record is from RNAcentral.
ACGGCGAGUGAAGCGGCAACAGCUCAAAUUUGAAAUCUGGCUUCGGCCCGAGUUGUAAUUUGUAGAGGAUGCUUUGGGCGCGGCUCCAACUGAGUUCCCUGGAACGGGACGCCACAGAGGGUGAGAGCCCCGUAUAGUUGGAUGCCUAGCCUGUGUAAAGCUCCUUCGACGAGUCGAGUAGUUUGGGAAUGCUGCUCUAAAUGGGAGGUAAAUUUCUUCUAAAGCUAAAUAUUGGCCAGAGACCGAUAGCGCACAAGUAGAGUGAUCGAAAGAUGAAAAGCACUUUGAAAAGAGGGUUAAAUAGCACGUGAAAUUGUUGAAAGGGAAGCGCUUGUGACCAGACUUGGGCCUGGCGGAUCAUCCGGUGUUCUCACCGGUGCACUCCGCCAGGCACAGGCCAGCAUCGGUUCUCGUGGGGGGAUAAAGGUCCCGGGAACGUAGCUCCUCCGGGAGUGUUAUAGCCCGGGGCGUAAUGCCCUCGCGGGGACCGAG